UGAAAGCAAAGGCAAAGAAGUUUGUCCAAGCUGGCCGGUUGGUCGUACCGGAAUAAUCCGCAGGUGUUGCAGGACUAGGGCGCGCAGCUGCUGCAGCCACAGCAUGUUGAAACUACCAGAGAUUAUAGUAGAGUAGAAUGGAAAGUAUAGAUGUUAUGUUGGUAAGAUGACCGAAGCGAGUAACAAUCUAGAAAGAAACAGCGACUGCUGAAGCCGCCUGGUCGGCAUAUAUAGCUAGAUUCCCAUGGCUGAUGAUAGAUAUUUGAUCUGGUUUUGCUUUGCUUAGCUGCUGAAGAUAUGGUGUAGAAGUCUUGAUUUUCAUGAAGCAGGUGUCAUUCUGAAAUGAUAUGCUGCUCUGGUUUUCUCCUUGUUGAUUUUGCACCUUCUCGAAGAAUUUGAGAAGGUGCAAAGAGAGAGGUUUGUUCAUAGUAUCAGUGUGCUUCAGCAAUAAUUGGAAGAAGCUGGUGUAGAGAUCAGUUUAUAACUUCUUAUCAGGUUUCCUUAUCAGAGUACCGAGUUGUAAUCAUACUUGACUUUUGUUGAGGGAAAACUUCAACUAAGUUGGCUUAUUAUGAAACGUUUCGGAAUGUCGCAUAGAACCAUUGUUGGUCAAGCUAUGAAAUGGUGUAUCCCUUUAAUGCAGUGUCAGUGUUUCGCAUUACAGUAAGGCAGUAAUCUUUUAAGGAUGUAUACUGCAG
Molecule: long non-coding RNA, 698 nt
Filed under: Triticum aestivum (bread wheat)
Lineage: Eukaryota; Viridiplantae; Streptophyta; Magnoliopsida; Poales; Poaceae
Description: long non-coding RNA (TAES_LNC015150)
Source: RNAcentral